AGCAGUCGCCGCGGUAAUACGAAGGGGGCUAGCGUUGUUCGGAAUUACUGGGCGUAAAGCGCACGUAGGCGGACAUUUAAGUCAGGUGUGAAAUCCCGGGGCUCAACCCCGGAACUGCCUUUGAUACUGGGUGUCUAGAGUAUGGAAGAGUUGAGUGGAAUUCCGAGUGUAGAGGUGAAAUUCGUAGAUAUUCGGAGGAACACCAGUGGCGAAGGCGGCUCACUGGUCCAUUACUGACGCUGAGGUGCGAAAGCGUGGGGAGCAAACAGGAUUAGAUACCCCGGUAGUCCCUGUCUCUUAUAC
RNAcentral lists this ribosomal RNA (303 nucleotides) under uncultured bacterium. RNAcentral's name for it is "partial 16S ribosomal RNA". It matches the Rfam family "Bacterial small subunit ribosomal RNA", at positions 507 to 807 of the family's 1533-position model. The record is from RNAcentral.